This 429-nucleotide ribosomal RNA is filed under the name Chloroflexota bacterium. RNAcentral's name for it is "Chloroflexi bacterium partial 16S ribosomal RNA". It matches the Rfam family "Bacterial small subunit ribosomal RNA", at positions 355 to 776 of the family's 1533-position model. Lineage: Bacteria; Bacillati; Chloroflexota. The record is from RNAcentral.
UGGGGAAUAUUGCACAAUGGGCGCAAGCCUGAUGCAGCCAUGCCGCGUGUAUGAAGAAGGCCUUCGGGUUGUAAAGUACUUUCAGCGGGGAGGAAGGGAGUAAAGUUAAUACCUUUGCUCAUUGACGUUACCCGCAGAAGAAGCACCGGCUAACUCCGUGCCAGCAGCCGCGGUAAUACGGAGGGUGCAAGCGUUAAUCGGAAUUACUGGCCGUAAAGCGCACGCAGGCGGUUUGUUAAGUCAGAUGUGAAAUCCCCGGGCUCAACCUGGGAACUGCAUCUGAUACUGGCAAGCUUGAGUCUCGUAGAGGGGGGUAGAAUUCCAGGUGUAGCGGUGAAAUGCGUAGAGAUCUGGAGGAAUACCGGUGGCGAAGGCGGCCCCCUGGACGAAGACUGACGCUCAGGUGCGAAAGCGUGGGGAGCAAACAGG